GGAGGCUAAGGAUUUAAAUUCAGUGCCUAUUGAAUCUCUCAUUAACUCACUAACCUCUUAUGAGUUGAAGUUGAAAUCUAAAGUGCAGGAGGAAGAGGAUGCUAGAGCAAAGAGAAACAUUGCUCUAAAGACUACUCAAGGUGAAGAUGAUCCAGCUCACUUGGAUGAUGAAGACUCGGAUGGUGAUGAUAAUGAUCUUGCUCUCAUCACAAGGGGCUUCAAGAGAAUCCUGAAUAAAAGGAAGUUUAGAAGGGGAGGACCUAGCAAUCAAUUUCAAAAUUAUUCAUCAAAUGCAAGGAACAAAGGAAAACAAGAAUUCAACAAGAAGCUAGUGGACAAAUGCUAUGAAUGUGGAUAGCCUGGACACUAUGCAAACGAAUGCCCCAUGAAGAAAAUGAAAGAUGGGAAAGCUGAUCGAAAGCCAAGAUUCAACAACUUCCAGAUUACUUGGAAUGAAUGCAACUCUGAAGGGGAAGUUGAAGAAGAGGAAGAAUCAGCUCAAAUGGCCUUC
RNAcentral lists this long non-coding RNA (511 nucleotides) under Coffea arabica (coffee). Its description in RNAcentral is "long non-coding RNA (CARA_LNC007759)". Lineage: Eukaryota; Viridiplantae; Streptophyta; Magnoliopsida; Gentianales; Rubiaceae. The record is from RNAcentral.